GACGAACGCUGGCGGCGUGCUUAACACAUGCAAGUCGAACGGUAAGGCUCCAGCUUGCUGGGGUACACGAGUGGCGAACGGGUGAGUAACACGUGGGUGACCUGCCCUGCACUUCGGGAUAAGCCUGGGAAACUGGGUCUAAUACCGGAUAGGACCGCACCGUGAGGGUGUGGUGGAAAGUUUUUUCGGUGUGGGAUGGGCCCGCGGCCUAUCAGCUUGUUGGUGGGGUAAUGGCCUACCAAGGCGGCGACGGGUAGCCGGCCUGAGAGGGUGGACGGCCACAUUGGGACUGAGACACGGCCCAGACUCCUACGGGAGGCAGCAGUGGGGAAUAUUGCACAAUGGGCGGAAGCCUGAUGCAGCGACGCCGCGUGGGGGAUGACGGCCUUCGGGUUGUAAACUCCUUUCACCAUCGACGAAGGGUUUCUGACGGUAGAUGGAGAAGAAGCACCGGCUAACUACGUGCCAGCAGCCGCGGUAACACGUAGGGUGCGAGCGUUGUCCGGAAUUACUGGGCGUAAAGAGCUCGUAGGUGGUUUGUCGCGUCGUCUGUGAAAUUCCGGGGCCUAACUCCGGGCGUGCAGGCGAUACGGGCAUAACUUGAGUACUGUAGGGGAGACUGGAAUUCCUGGUGUAGCGGUGAAAUGCGCAGAUAUCAGGAGGAACACCGGUGGCGAAGGCGGGUCUCUGGGCAGUAACUGACGCUGAGGAGCGAAAGCAUGGGGAGCGAACAGGAUUAGAUACCCUGGUAGUCCAUGCCGUAAACGGUGGGCGCUAGGUGUGGGUUUCCUUCCACGGGAUCCGUGCCGUAGCUAACGCAUUAAGCGCCCCGCCUGGGGAGUACGGCCGCAAGGCUAAAACUCAAAGGAAUUGACGGGGGCCCGCACAAGCGGCGGAGCAUGUGGAUUAAUUCGACGCAACGCGAAGAACCUUACCUGGGCUUGACAUAUACAGGAUCGCGCCAGAGAUGGUGUUUCCCUUGUGGCUUGUAUACAGGUGGUGCAUGGUUGUCGUCAGCUCGUGUCGUGAGAUGUUGGGUUAAGUCCCGCAACGAGCGCAGCCCUUGUCUUAUGUUGCCAGCACGUUGUGGUGGGGACUCGUAAGAAACUGCCGGGGUUAACUCGGAGGAAGGUGGGGAUGACGUCAAAUCAUCAUGCCCCUUAUGUCCAGGGCUUCACACAUGCUACAAUGGUCGGUACAGUGGGUUGCCAGUCCGUGAGGGCGAGCUAAUCCCGCAAAGCCGGUCUCAGUUCGGAUCGGGGUCUGCAACUCGACCCCGUGAAGUCGGAGUCGCUAGUAAUCGCAGAUCAGCAACGCUGCGGUGAAUACGUUCCCGGGCCU
This 1341-nucleotide ribosomal RNA is filed under the name uncultured bacterium. RNAcentral describes it as "partial 16S ribosomal RNA". It matches the Rfam family "Bacterial small subunit ribosomal RNA", at positions 28 to 1381 of the family's 1533-position model. The record is from RNAcentral.